Long non-coding RNA from Lutra lutra (Eurasian river otter), 229 nucleotides. RefSeq lists it as uncharacterized. The transcript has 3 exons. Lineage: Eukaryota; Metazoa; Chordata; Mammalia; Carnivora; Mustelidae. The record is from RefSeq and is a predicted model, not a curated record.
GGUUUGUGUGUCCAUAUGUGAAGACACAGGUGUGGGAUUCCCUCAAGGGAGGAAUUGCUGGGUCAUAUGAUAUUCUGAUUUUCCAGUACGUUUUCAGAUCGAAAAUUAUUGGGAGAAACUGACAACCUAACAGCACAUCACACUAGCCAGGUUAAGUGGGAUUCAAGGGCCCUCCAGGAAGGACAGUCAAGAUUUUUGAUUCAACACUGAAUAAGGAAGCACCUGGAGA